ACCACAAGAGAGCUAGAACCAAUAAGCAGAGUCAUAAUAGGUAAAACAGUGAGCGAUACCCAACAACACAGACACUUACCAACCUCUCUCUCUCUCUUCACUUUAACAUCAUCUGUCGUGUUUAAAAUAACCAGUUAGUGAGUCGGGUUCACACAGUAGCAUUAGAAACGGUCUGGGUCAAACUUAAUGACAUAUGCAUUAUAUUGUUAUUUUUAGAUAAUAAGUCUAUCUUCUGUUUGUUUUGUUUUUUUUAAUGGAAACAUUUUAACUUUUUAUCCAGUCUCCCCACGUUAUUUAAUCCAAAAUCGACGGGACACUUUACCAUAUCAAUACCGCCUCGUUUUUUUUUUUUGUUCUUAUGUUCUUUUACCUUUACCAGUUUCUUCUAUGUUUGUGUCUCACACAGACACACUAAUAAACAUAUAUUGCAAUACAUGUACUCUACUGUAAGUUUGAUAAUAAGUUUUUUUUUCUUCCUCUCUAUAAAAACUUCAUCUUUGAGUUUAUCUAUACGUGGUUCUCUCACACACUUUUGAUGACUACAGGGUUUUUCUCUUAUUGUGUUAUUAUUUUGUAGCUAGCUUAAUGUACUAAACUGAUAGCUUGUACAAAAGGAAUCUGACUUCUGUAUAGGUUCACAAUUAAAUACACACUAAAUGUAAAAACAGUUAAGCUGAAGAAAACAGUGGCGUGCACAAAAAAAGGCUUCGCUUCUUCACUCGAUUUGAGUUUUUAGGUUUAAGUUUCACCCGAAAGUCAAAUUAAAGAAUCAAACCAGUGUGAUUGCAUGUCUGUUAUUUCACUACAGACACAUUAUUCCAUUAUGACCAUUUUUUAAAAUAAAUGCUGUACAGUUUUACAGAUACUUUGAUCAAUUCUACCCAAGUUUUCGAGGCAACCACUGCCAAUGAAAGCAAUGUAGCAGACUUACUUGACUUGAUUGAUUGAAAAAACAGUCUAAACUCUGCAACAGCUGUAGAUUAAUAUCUCAAAACGCUAACACCAGAGAAGCACCUACCCAUCAAGAAGUGGCCUAGCUCCAUAAUAAACAAUAAAUCAAACAUGUUUUUUCUUCGUCUGCAGUUACAGUAUGAUGGAUCUCCAGCGAGCCAGUUCAUUUUCACAUCAAAUAAACAUUUAAAACGGAGAUAUCUGGAUAUCUGUCUAAUUUGGUGGAUUACAAUCAAAAUUUCUGACAUGUUAUUUUUUUAGCUGUAAUGUGAAGCAUGUGAGAUUUGUAGAGCCACUGGUUUGCUAAACGGAGGAUAAAAAGGGGGUGGAGUGAUUUUUUUAAGCUAAUAAUAGGGAGACUUAGGCUAUAAAGGCAAUGGGAGGGAUCAGAAGGGCAAUCAGGCGAAUUAGGGUGUCAUUGAGGGGUACUUGGGCCAAAAAUAGAAGUGACUUAAGCAGCUUAAGCGACCUUUUGUUGUGAUAUUAAGGCAAAAAAAUCAUGUCCCAUUAAGAAAAUAAAAGGCAACUUGUGCUCUUAAUUUGAAGAAAAGUCACUUCCUGUGCACACCACUGCAAAAACUAGACUGUCAACUCUCGUAAAUACUCAUUUCUGUAGACUUUAUGUACAUAGCAGCAGUAUAGCUUCCUGUAAAGUGAUUUCUUUAUGAUUAGGACAAGGCCAGUUCUUUCUUACACUUCACAAACACACAGCGGCUGCCACUAUGAUAAAAAAAAAGCUUUGAUACAGAAUAUUAAUAGUCAUAUAAAAAAAUAAAAAAGGUCAGAUUUUUUUUUUUUAAUUUUCAGACUAGAAACUGUAAAUUUCACUCUAAUUAUGUCAGUAAUUUUAGGUUCAAUGGAAACACAUUCUCAUUAUAUUUCCAGUCUCUCUUUUCCUUUCUUAAUCUCACUCUAUUUCUAUUUCUUUUUUUUUUUUUUUGAGGUAAUUGUCUUUUGUGUGGUGACCACUUUUUGAGUAUAUAGAGCUUUGUACACAUAUACGUUACGUAUUUAAAAAAAAAAAAAAAAAGACAGAACUAAUGUUGAAGAUAGUGUUUUUAGUGUUUAUGUGUUCUGGUACUUUUGUCCUUAUCUACGCCUGUAGAUGCAGAUGGAUCAGAUCCUUCGCAGUGCUGUUUCCUCUCGUGCUGUUUCUGCGUUUGUGGCAUUUUUUUUGAAUUUUUUUAGUUCCCUUUUUUUUGGUUCCCUUUUUUUUUUCUUUUCCUUGCAGAGUUUUAUCCUUUUAAAAAAAUAUAUAUCUAUUGAAUCUGUUGGCUGGCCAGUACUUGUUUUCUGUUUUAUGUUCUUCCCUUUAAAGAAGAUAAAAAAACAAAAAACACACAUAUAAAAAAAAAAAAAAAUUAACAUGAAAAAAAAAUUUAAAAAACGUUUUGGAUGAAAAGAUGUUUAUCAGUUUUUCUAAGUUUCACUUUUCAGAUAUGUAGCAUUUUUUUUGAACAUUGUAAAAGGAGGUGAAGUUGCCAUAGAAUUAAUCACAUUGUUUUCCAGUUGCAUAUAUAUAAAGCAAUGGUGCUUCAUAGACCAUGUAUGUCAUUUUAAGACCUUUUAUUACAUCUCUUGGAUCCACUAACACUGUAUUUCUGUAUUUUUGAUGUUAUCUGCUUUAUGUGAUGCUGACAUUUUCUUUAAAGUUCAUCUUUAAUCCGUAUAAUGUGCCUUAUCAUGACUCUAUGGGUGUCUUUAACACGUGAGAAGUUCUACCCUUCAAGUGCAGCACAGUUUGUUCCCUGCAACCUCGUAGAUGACUUCCUUCAACUGCCCGAGACUUUUACUGAAUUACAAUCCCAACGUGGCGUUUAGCAGCUUUAACCUUCCUGUCGUCCUCCAGGGUCACAUUGACCCCGUCUGUUUCGACUGUUCUUUCUUUCCUUCCUUCCGUUUGUCCUUCCUCGCUCUUUCUGUCUUUCCUCCCUUCCUUCUUUCCUUCCUCCAAACCCCCUUUCUUCCUUCCUUCUGUCCUUCCUUCCCUCCCUCUUUUCCUUCCUUCUCCCUCCCUUCCUUCUUUCCAUCCUCCAAACCCCUUCCUUCUUUCCUUCCCUCCUUCCUUUGUUCCUUCUUUCCUCCCUCCCUCCUUGUCUCUUUCUGUCCUCCCCAUUACCUUCCUUCUUUCCUCUGUCUUUCUUUCCUCCCUUCCUUCCUCCCUCCCUCCCUCUUUUCCUUCCUUCUUCCUCCCUCCAACCCCCUUUCUUCCUUCCCUCCUUCCCUUCUUUCUUCCUCCCUUCCUUCCUUGAUUCAAGGACAACAGAAGAGUUAAUGAUGUUGCUAGGUAACAGGUAGCUAGCUAGCAGAGCCAUAAAGUAAUGUGAAAUCAUAAAAGCAGUAAUUAUAGUUUAUUUUAGUUUUUUUUUAAUCCAAUUAUCCCAAAAAAAAAAAAACAACGUAGAUACGAUGUCACAGUUGGGAUGAUAUUUAUAAUAAGUCUUCCUCCUUCAUAGCCUCCUCUGAUAGAUCCAAAUAGUACAGUUUAGGGAAGGAAUACGCAGUAAAACUAGAUUCCCGUUAGAUUCCCCUGGUGACGACGAGUCAAAUCGGGAGUAUUUUAAAAAGGCUUUUAAAAAGGAAACGGAUUCCCUCAGCUCAUCCAACAAACCUGAUGAAGCUGCCUGGGUUUGUGGGUUCUACUGGACUCUGCAGGUGAAAUUAAAUUUGCCUGUUUUUUUUAAUUAUUUUUUUUUAGCAACACUGGAUGAAAAAAAAAACAGCUCCAAAGAUUCAAUUUAAACAAAGAGCAAAGAGCAGAUGACUUUAACUGUUUGAUUUGACUAUUGUUAACUAACGCUGAAGCCCAGAGUGAAAAUCAGGCCCGAUCUCCAUCAUCAUCUUUUUUUUUCCUUUUCUUUUUUUUUAAGAGUUAGACGAUUAUUUAGAUGCUUGGAAAGGUUUUAAACAAGUCAUUAAAUUGUCUGAAUAUUUCAUUUUUGAAGUGAAGCAGACUUAAAGCUUCCUUGUGCUUAAUAGGAUUGGAGAUGAUGAUGAGGAGGAGGAGGUGGGAGGGGGAGGGGGGUGAGAUCGGAGGAAGAACAGCCCGAUUUGUUGAGUUGAGUGACAUGUGAAGAGAGAUACAUCCUGCUCAGCCUGCCCACUGACGCAUAUCUCUCCACUCCUCCGCAGAUCUGUUCCUCCUCUCUCUCACUCCUCCUCCUCUUCCUCCUCUUCCUCUUUCACUCUUGACAAUUGACAAAAAAAGAAAAACCCACCCCAUCUAUCGUUCUUCUCUUCUGUCCUGAUGAAGCUCGAGCUGAAAGUUCCUAAUAAUGUAAAAUGUAAAAGUAGUUAAGUGUAGUGAAAGAAAAAUAAAAUAAACCCAAAAAACUAAAAUAUUAUUACCAAAUUUGUUUACAUUGGGUUUCCAGAAAAGCACUUUACAGAUUGUAAAUUAUUUUUCCUGAUAUAUUUAUUAUGUAAAAUAGAAGUAAAUCCCUGACAAAGGCCAGAAUUACACUUAUUAUUAUUAUUAUUAUCAUCACAGACCAAAAAUAUAAAAAAAGAGCAGAAGCUUUUUUUUUUUUUUUUUUAAAUGUAUUUUAAUAAAUGUCCUGAAACAGAAAGAAGACGAGAAAAGCAUCUCAGAUUAUGAGAUUUGAGCUAUUAUUAUAAAAUUGUGUUUAUGUACGUGGAAAGAGUUGGCUGGAUGGAAGUCGGAUUUUUUAAGAAAAUUAAAAAAAAAAAAAAUCUAGGAGGAGGAGAAGAAGUCCCGCCUUUUUUUUUUUUUUUUUUUUUAAGCUAGCAAAUGUUCAAAUGUUCAACUAUAGCUUCAGCUGGACAUAAACAGUUGUCAUAUGUUCAGAAAGACAGAAUGAAGAUAUAAAUGUCUGAAAAAAAUCUACAUGAAGCUAGCGGAGCAGAUGCUAAUGGAGCAGAUGCUAACGGAGCAGAUGCUAACUUGCUAAAAAAAAUGGCGGGAAUUCAGCUCUCAGCUCUCCUUUUUUUCUUUUUCUUUUUUUUUCUUAAAUCAACAGAAGGCUUAUCACCAGUCGUAGAGCUUAACAUACUGUGCUGCUUGAAGGGUUUCAUCCCAAAAAAAUGAAACAUUUGAAAAAAUAAAUAAAAUAAUAAAAAAAUGCUUCAGGAGUUAAUCCACUCAUUCAUUGCACUUCCUCUUUUAAAGACAGUAUCAGCAUUUUUUUGUCUCGUGUCUCAACAGGGUUUAUGUUUUAUUUCCUUUAUGGGAUCCAUGUUCAGCUACUUGUACUCUUGUUUUUUUUGUCGGAUGUCAUAACGUACAGUUAUUAUUUGCUGAUUCCGCAUUUUAUAUGCUAAAAAAAAAAAAAUUCAUAUUGAUCUUAUUAUUAUCAUAUUGUUAUCAUUGUUAUUACUAUAUGGGGAAUUUAACCCAAUAAGAAGUUUGUGUUUCUGCACUGAUAUCUUACUAUUAAAGCAUACUGAUCUUACCCUCCCUCA
Long non-coding RNA from Scomber japonicus (chub mackerel), 5373 nucleotides. RefSeq lists it as uncharacterized. The transcript is spliced from 2 exons. Lineage: Eukaryota; Metazoa; Chordata; Actinopteri; Scombriformes; Scombridae. The record is from RefSeq and is a predicted model, not a curated record.